This 297-nucleotide ribosomal RNA is filed under the name uncultured bacterium. Its description in RNAcentral is "partial 16S ribosomal RNA". It matches the Rfam family "Bacterial small subunit ribosomal RNA", at positions 29 to 354 of the family's 1533-position model. The record is from RNAcentral.
AACGAACGCUGGCGGCAUGCUUAACACAUGCAAGUCGAACGAGACCUUCGGGUCUAGUGGCGCACGGGUGCGUAACGCGUGGGAAUCUGCCCUUAGGUACGGAAUAACUCAGAGAAAUUUGUGCUAAUACCGUAUGAUGUCGAAAGACCAAAGAUUUAUCGCCUAAGGAUGAGCCCGCGUAAGAUUAGCUUGUUGGUGAGGUAAAAGCUNACCAAGGCGACGAUCUUUAGCUGGUCUGAGAGGAUGACCAGCCACACUGGGACUGAGACACGGCCCAGACUCUACGGGAGGCAGCAG